CUCAUAGCGUAUAUUUAAGUUGUUGCAGUUAAAAAGCUCGUAGUCGGAUUUUGGCUGAGAACGAACGGUCCGCCGUUAGGUGUGCACUGUUUGGUCUCAGCUUCCUGGUGAGGAGGUGUGCUUCACGGCCACUUAGUCACCGUGGUUACUUUGAAAAAAUUAGAGUGUUCAAAGCGGGCUUACGCUUGAAUAUAUUAGCAUGGAAUAACACCAUAGGACUCCUGUCCUAUUUCGUUGGUCUCGGGACGGGAGUAAUGAUUAAGAGGAACAGUUGGGGGCAUUCGUAUUUCAUUGUCAGAGGUGAAAUUCUUGGAUUUAUGAAAGACGAACUUCUGCGAAAGCAUUUGCCAAGGAUGUUUUCAUUGAUCAAGAACGAAAGUUGGGGGCUCGAAGAUGAUUAGAUACCAUCCUAGUCUCAACCAUAAACGAUGCCGACUAGGGAUUGGCGGAUGUUAAUUGAUGACUUCGCCAGCACCUUAUGAGAAAUCAAAGUUUUUGGGUUCCGGGGGGAGUAUGGUCGCA
This 522-nucleotide ribosomal RNA is filed under the name uncultured eukaryote. Its description in RNAcentral is "SSU rRNA". It matches the Rfam family "Eukaryotic small subunit ribosomal RNA", at positions 591 to 1133 of the family's 1831-position model. The record is from RNAcentral.